AAUGUUAGGUUCCCGUAUACAGAAAGUGUACAAAAAAGUAGAGAAACCUAGACCAAAAUAUGUUUCUCUGCAAAAGUUAUCCAGUUAUAUAUACACACAAGAACUCUUGGGUGUACCUAAAGGUAACUCGAGACACGAGGCUACAAAAUCUUUCUUGACCUCUUCAAACGCUCUCCUAUUCCUCCCCCUUCACAUUAUCCACAUAAGAGCUAGUAGUGCUACAUCCCAUGCACUGCAUCUUCUCUUCUUUCUUCUAAAACCGCAUGUAUAGUGGCUCCUUUACCAUGCUCGGCUCACCCAUUGUAUUACGAACCAAUUCAUAACCUCCCACCACAAGCAUGUAGCAACUUGACAAUGUUAUAAGAGGUUAUCUUACGUCUUCUCCCUGAACAUCUACACAUAUAAAAACAGUUGAAUUAUUCUUGUAGACAUUUAUGAUAGAGAGCAAAACAAAUAAGUGAACAACCUACUUACAGAAAAUGUAAAGGGCUGGUAAUUAGUCUUGUAUUUCGAAUUACUUGUGGUUGACUGUUAUUAUUGUAACUAGGCUGAAUUGAUUAUAAAAUGGAUGAUAGUAUGAGUUUUCUUUGACAAGGAUAACCAUGAUAGGGUCUUUCUAUCAAAAGGCAUUAGGUUGAAGGCUGCUAUAAAUGAAAUAUUUUAAAUUUCGAAGCUUGUUUAGUCAAAUUAUGACAUACCUUAGGCUUUAAAUAUGUGAUCUCAAUGACAUCUAACAUUUAUUUUAGCGCGAUGGUUAUGUUGCCAGUUUCUUUGGACUAUUUUUCCUUGAGCCGAGGAUCUAUUGGAAACAGUCUCUCUACCUCUGAGGUAGGGUAAGGUCUACGUACACUCUACCUACCCCAGACCCCACUUUGUGGGACUAUUUUGGGUAUGUUGUUGUUGUUGGUUAUGUUGCCAGUCUCUGUUAAGUAUUCAGUUCUGAGUUUUUGUUAAUGGAGGUGUCUAAUUUGUAUGGAAUCCAUUUCUUCUUUGUGUUACAUGAUAUAAAUGGCAUUAUCUUAUCGGAAUACCAGUUAGUUGUUGUGUUAUAUUGGUAACUAACUUGAUAAAAGAAGUUUGUUAUAUCGGUUGAUGGAAAUGACAUCAAAGACGAUUUAUUGUUAGUUUGUUUUAGUGGUGCAGGUCAUGUGAAGUAAUUGGGUCAUUUUUCUUACGUAAUCAUGGCGCAUAAUCUGCAACUUGUAUAAUUUUACUUUGAUGUGGUGGAUUCCAGAAUUUUAGGUGAAUACUCAAAGGUUCCCCUGAAGCCACAGCUAAGAAAAAGGUGCGGCGUCAUUGAUUCUUCCCCUGGUUACUUUUUUUGUUUGGAAAUUAAGAUGUUUGUCAAGCGAUUUCCUUAUAAGCACAAGUUGUUUGCCACAACUCAUGAAUAUUCUUGUUUCUGGUGAAGCUAUAGCAUUUCCGUAUUUUAGUACAUGGUAAGGAACUGUUUCAUUGCUACAGCAUGAUAGAAGAUAAGUUUUAAGAAUCAGUUUGAUGUGAGGCAUAAGAAAAAUAAUCUCUGCAAAAUUGUGAUUAUCAAUUGUUGGUUCCUAUGUAAUCAUACAUGUAUUCUUUUAUGUGGAAUAUCAAUACGCAUAUUAGUACCUUCAACCUUCAUAGUGUUGUGUUAUGUUCUUAGUUGAGUUUGUAUGAAUUCCAAGUUAUUUUAGGUCUUCAAAGAUAUUUUCCUUUGAUAUGUGAAUCGGUGAAUGUAUACCAUCUAUUUUUAGCACUCUUAACUAUCCCAACAUUGUGACAACAGAUUAGUUCAUUUGGAAGUCUCCGUGAGAUAAAUUGGUACCAUCUGUGAUGACCUCUCUCAUGUUAUGCUUUAUGCAAUGACACUUGCACCCUCUAGGGGAUGGGAUCAUUUCUAAUCAUGUCUAAUUUUGUAUGAUGAUAUAUCUAUCCUAACAUCUGUAUUUUGACGGCUCUUGUUGCCCAACAUUUACUUCUAUAUAAAUAAACUUUGUUGACCUUAGAAUUGGUCUGUAGAACUUUUUUGUCACUUUGAUAGAUUUCAUAUCGUAUUUUCUUCCACUUUUGUAGCGUUCCUCCGCUACAACCAUCCUAUUUUACUUCAAUAUAUUCAUCAAUCAAGUCGUUCUUCUAAAAUAUAUACAUUUAAUUAUUUUUUAAUUCGAUGAUAAAGCCAAUAUACAUUCCAAUAAAAUACUAGUGGACACCCCCCCCGCCCCCCCCAAAAAAAUAUUCUUUGCCUUGGCCAAUUCAAGUGGUUGAAUGAUAGCUUCAUUUAUUUUAUUUUAGUUUCUUUCUCUAGUUUAUUAUUUGUUUCAUGUCACUUUCCUUUGACUAAUUUGUUUCCCUUUUGUUUUUUUGGUAUCAUGUGAAUUCGCAUGGAGUCCAAGUUGAACUCAAAUCCUUUCCUCCGCAUUAUUGAAUGGGCCACUUAGGCCCGAAGCCUCUUCCGAGUCACCCUCUUCAUUAUCGAGUUCAAAAAAUAAAAAAAUGGAAGGCGAACAUGUGAAUUUCAAAUUGAAACCAAUAUUCAGGGCUGGAAAUUAAAUUACAGGCCUCCAAGAAGCCCAAAAGUGGGUUGUAUACAUUGAUACAGAAAUUCAAAGAAUUAAAACAGGUUACAGGGGCCCUAUACACUCAGUAUACAGAAAUUCAGCGUAUACAGGAAUUUUCAGGAACAAAAAUGGACCAGAGCCCAAUUUUUUUAAGACAGCAGGUCCAAGUAGCCAAAUGGCCCAAAGGACCCCCCCCCCCCCCCCCCCAAAAAAAAAAAAAAAACUGUUACAUCCUUGAGAGAAAGACUGCAAAGAAAUUAUCUAAUUCCCCUUUUCUAAGUCAUGCCAGAUGGAUACGUCUCCUGGUGUCGGAUAAUUUUUCUUUAUAAAUGGAUAUAAGGAGUACACAUCACAAUAGUCUAAAUUUUCACCAAAAGGUCUUAUGGACACUGGACCCUAUUUGGUUUUAGUAAUUACUUAGCAGAUUUUUCUUUUACUUUCAGUAGUUAAGAUAGUCAAACAUAAGCUAGUUAACCUACCGGUUUGAGUUUUCCUAUUGGCUGUAGGAAACUAUCAUGGUAAGUGAGACUACUUUAACCAAAAUGAAAUGAGUCAAUAAUAUGGAUACUGUUGGCAACACUUUCUGCUCAUUUCUUUGCUUGUGGAGAGAAUAUAUAACAGAACCCGAACUUGUUACUUUCCUAGAGUUGGUCUUUCAUUUAUGAUUUCUCAUAGAUCUUCAGGAUCUAACUUAAACAAAGGCACUUACGGAAGAAAAGAGGAAAUCGAGAAAUAAUCAAUGACUUUGUUAUCUUGUAUCCAUUGUCAUUUUUCCCUUGUCAGCAUAUUUGUCCGUAAGGGGUGACUAAAUCAAUGUUUGUUGCUCUUAUAAAAAAAAGGUCAAUGUUUGUUGCUCUUCAGCUAUUAAUUUCUGUGUUUCUUGAUUUUCUCCCCCUUCUUUGGUGCGGUUUUGUAUCUACUCUAAUUUUUAACUUAUCCUGUUGUUUUUAAGUGCAGUGAGUUUACAGAACAUGAGGUGGUCCCAAUGAGUACAGCAAUAGAAGGGCCAUCUGGACCGGCAUUUACCACCUCUACGGAUGGGUUUGGUGCUGAUGAUUCUUCCUUUAUGAACUUUUUCAAUGUAUGUACUAUAUACUCAACCUUCCUAUGAUAUUGAUGUAUAAUUUCCCGUCUAACAUCUUAAACUGUCAAGUUUAAAACUUUAGCAUCUGUUCAUGAACUUUAAACCGAAAAGAAGCUUCUGUUUAUUGCCAAAUGGUGUUAAGCCUCUGUCUACCUUAUUUGCUUUAUUUGUACAUUUCUACCUGUUGGCUUCUCCAGUCACUCAAUUUGUGCAGUGCAAUGUGUCAAAAUGCUGGCCCUUGAACAUUUUCUUAAAAUGUUGCCGCCUGAGAUUUUCUUGGUCAAAGAUUUUGUUAUAUUCUUGUAACAACUUGUAAUGCAUGUAUAUUCUUUGAUCAUUUACAGAUACCAUACAUUACCAGGAUAUAUGUUUGAAUAAGCCUAACAUUUUCAUGCAUGCCUUCGUUAGGUGAUUUAAUUGCGUAUGCACCCCCUUUCCCAAAAACAAAAAUUCAUGAGGAACACUGUUCUAUCCCGGGAAUUUGAGGGAAACAUUUAUGUCCAAAAGAGAUGACUAUGGGUUGACUAAUGAUGAUCAUGAUACCAAGUGGAUGGAAAUGAAUAUGAGAAAUCAUAGUAUGGAAUCUUUUCUGUGAGGAAUAUAAAAUUCCCUAGGAUCCAAGAAUUUAUUCUCUAUUGCUAACUGAAACUGUUUGAGGGCUUCACUUGGAGACUAGCAUGUUUUGAAGAAAACGAGGUUAUACGGAAGCUGGCUUUUCUGAGAUAGUGUAGUUAGGGGAAAAAAAUGCAUCUUUUUCUUCAGGAUAUGAGUGAGGCUGCAUUAGUAGAUGAAUGCAUCAUGGAAGAUCAAUAAGAAUGUCUUCUAGUGUAGUAAACAUUGGCUUUAAAAUACUGGGCAGCCUGCCCCUACUGCCCGUCCUCCUUGGGGUGUAGAAAAGUCCUGAGAUUUAAUUUUGUUGUUGCAGACUGCUGCAACUAUUGGGCAUACCCCUUCAACUGUUGUGAACUCCGGACUGCCAUAUCAUUAUCCAGUUCAAACUGUUGAUCCAUCAACCCGAGUUCCAAGUCCCCUACCAUCUCCUGCUCCAAUUUUGCAAAUCUCAUUACCUGUUCAGUCAGCUCCAUCACUUCCUCCACCGUCACGCCGUGAUUCUGCUAACCUGAUCUAUAGUACUAAUUACCCUGCAAAUCUUGUGAAGCCUUCUUUCUUUACACCUCCUGCGUCACCUGUAUUGGUGACAACUUCUGUCUCCUCAGCUACAUCAACUCCCGCCCGUUAUCCUCAUGUGAAUCCACAACGCCCACAUGGUACACCUCUAGUUCAACCCUUCCGACCACCUACUUCGCCUCCAUUUCUCACUUCUACUCAGAUUCCUCCACAAAGUGUGACACUAAGCAGAGAGAAAGUUCAAGACGUGCUUCUAAUGCUUGUUCAGGUAUAUCCAGCCAUCCAGGAUUUAAUUUAUGUACUCUGCCUGCUAUUUGGAUGACUACAACUGUGUUAAUUAAUUAUAUAUUGUCAUUGCUGGGUGCGUCUUUUGUGUACUUGAACAGUAAUUGAAUUCCAUUCAACUGCAUAAAUCUUGAUCAUUUUAUCCAUAAAAUUUGUGGACAUGACAUAUUAUCGAAACUGCUUCUUUGCAAACACAUUCAGAUUUUGGAGGGUUCAACAUUUGUAACUUCAAUCUGACUUGUGUUUACAAUCAAAGGAUCCUUGUAAAUUUCUUUAUCAAGAUCUCUAGGGUUUUAUGUUUUAUUUAGUUAAGUAGUUACUAAAAUUUUUGGUUAAAUAAUUAAAAUUUAAAAGAUAUCUGUUAUGUUGUAGAGUUACAUCCUAGGUGGCUUGUUUAAAUUUUUAACUUUUACUGAUGAAGCAUCAGUUAGUAUAAGAUGCCCUGUCAAAUUAAUUCUUGGUUUUGACUUCAUAUUUCUUCUAAUGUGCAAUUUCCUUGUCAAUGUUUAGAGAGCUAUGGUACCCAUCUGCUGUCUAAACAAGUGAAAAGUUUAUUGUAAAGAGUCUCCCUAAGUUCUGGAUCUCAUUUUCAAUUGGAUCUAUUUUACACGUAAUCUCAAGCUUGACUUGUAACUUUGCACAUUGCACACCAGCGUAUUCCUGAAAAUACUGAAAAAUGUUUGACCAACCAUUAGUGAAUGGUUGAGAAUGAUCAUGAUAGAUUUUAGUAAUUGUAUCAUUGUUGUUUCAUCAAUAACAUGCAGCUCACAUACAGGAUAUUUUCUGAAUUUUCUAUUAUUGAAGAAAAAAUGACUCUUUUCUUAAUUUUUUUGCAGGACAAUCAGUUUAUCGACUUGGUCUACCAAAAGUUGCUUAAUGCACAUUCAUGAUUCCUUGAGAAGUGUGGUGAUGUUGUAAAUCUGGCACCAUGUAUAAGUAGUUUGUACAUAUUUGUUUCUUGUGCUGGGGAUUUGGACCUAUCUUCUUUUCACCUCAUGAGGAGAUUGACUAGACCUAUGACUUGAUGUAAUAUAUGAAACUUGGACAAUCCUCAACCAAUCCUGAUGAAAGUCUAUGAACAAGUGAAUAUCGAUAACGGCAAACCUUUAAACAUUUCUGUAAAUUCUAUGCAGAGUUUUGAUAGAAUUUGGUGGACAUCAUGGCUUUGGUCUGUGGAAUCAUUGAUGUUCACCAAGUUUGGUUUUCAUUCAACUGUUAAGAUGCAUUGAUACGAGCAGAAUGAUUAUGUUCUUCAUUUGCUGCAUGCAUGAACUGUCUCACGACUUUCACAACAUUAGCUAUAUGUGGCUUGACAGAUACAUUAAUCUCCCAACUAGCCUUUGAUACCAAACAAUAUUUGUUUCCUCAGUGUAAUCUCAAAAGUGGGGUUUAGGGAACGUAUAUGUAGACCUUAACCCUACCUUUUGGGUAAAGAUUUCAGAACUUGAUCAGGCAAAAUCUUAAGCAUAUGAUUUAUUUCUGUUCGAGUGUUUAUAUUGGUUUGCACGCAAAUAUUCCAGUUUUCAGCCAAUAUAUUUAACAUUGGCAUGUAAACUGUGAUAUCAGUAUUGUUUACAUUUGUACAUCAACCAUCUACUAGUUUAAUCUUUGUUUAGGUAAAAUAGAAUUCAUCCCGAUUAGAUUCACCAUCUCUUUGUUUGCAAGAAAAUCUGGGUUUGCCCCAAGUUCUGGUCAUCAAUAUACUUGAUACUAGAGAAUCGUGAGAAAUUUUAAAAUUAAUCUGUAAAAAAAAUAAAAAAUUAUCUUGCAUUGAUGUAACUUCUAAACGAAUUCAUAUUACCUAAACUGAAAUAAAUCGUAGCUGGAAGUUUCACAAACUUUUUUUCUGCAAAAUUGACAGUUGUCACAAUUUUGACAAUACCAAGGUCAGUAAAAGUUGAGAAAAUGUAGUUCUGAAAAGUGAAAACACAAAAAAUAAUGUAACAACAGCCUAAACUGAAAUCAGGUAGAUAAACUUCAUUGAGCAUUCAAAAGUCGUUUUGUAGCUGACUAGAGUUAUGCAAUAAAAUAAUAUAUAGAUUUUCUCAUACCUUAUACAUGUGUUGGUUAUGCAGUUUUUGAAAUUGUCAACCAAAUGUCAUUUUAAUUUUAUACAUGAAUAACUUAUUUCCUAUCUAUCUAUCAAAUGUUGUAUAAGUUGUACGGAAACUAAUACAUGGAUAACUUGUUUCGUACCCAUCUACCAAAUGAAUUUACCUUCACAUUAGAUUCUUUGAACCAUCUGUGUUCUCAGUAUCAUACCAACAACAUACAACUUUCAUAGAAUCUUCAAGGCAGCUACCUAAGAAACUUUGAACUUUUAGCAUUGAUUUGACACAACCAAGUUGAAGUGGACAUUCUGAAGCCAAAACAUUAUCAUAAUCCCAUGAUAAUGAUGAAUGUAAUUCAAUCACAUAAAGACAACAAAGACAGAUCUUCAAAAAAAUUACAAGAUUCUUCCAUCUUCCUUUUUUCUCCAGUCCAUCUACUCCAACUAUUGAGUGUUCAUGCUGCAGAAUAUUUACCACUUCGCAUCAAGGGAAGUUGUUUCCUUACCAAGCACCGAAAUUAAUAGAUUGAAGCGAAAUAUAACCAAGAAGUAGAUCCUUCAGAUGAUGUUUACACAACCCAAGUCGCCUUCUAUGUAAACUGGGAUGGAUACAAUUAGAAAAUCCAGUCUUCCAACCAGGGAAUCUUUGUCUUUCCAUCACGUGAAGAGUGUAUACACGAGGAGCUGCAGCUGAACAUCCUAUAACAAAGCAAUUGCAAGGACGUGACUGACUCACCAUUCUUGCUAAAGAGAAUAAACAUAUUCCACUGUAUGUUAUUCCAUACAUUAAGGCGUCAUUAUCAACAGCUUCGGAAUUUGUUGCUUCACUGGUUAUCUCAAGCUCCAGAUCUUCAGUUGCAGGAAUUCUGCGCAAUUCAGAAUCAAAUUUCUUCUCUAUCUCACUCUCAUGGAUCCUAUAUUUCAUCGCCAGAGUUCUGAUGCAAGACAACCUUACUUGAUUGCAAAUAAUGAGCUUUACCUCAUUAAAGUUGUCACACUCGGUGUACCAUCUCUGCCACCGGCAGAUUAAACCUGCAUACCAGUCAACAAUUUCAUUGUCAUCCCAAAAAACUAGCAGAUGACAUGGCUGGGAAUAACCUUUGGAGUUUGUCAAUCCAUAUCGAAAAAGCCGCUUCUUUAUGAUGCUGAUUGGAGCUAUGAUCUGUGUCGUAAAUGAUGAACAGUUGGAGUUUGGCAACAGGGCAAGAGUCGAAGCUGUCUCAGAAGAUAUAUAUUCCUGAACACGCUUCUGGAACUCAUAAUAUGAAUCUCUUAGAUCUUGAGGGAGAGCUGGUUCAACUAUAUGUUUAGAUAAGAUAACAUCCUCGUUCGUUUCGCAUUUAACCUUUUUAUUUUGCAUCCAAACUUUUAGUAAGACUUUGUACCAAUGAUCUGUUUCCAUCCCAUCUUUUCUAAAACAAGAAAUUUGGGUCAAAAGGGAGCUACCAUCAGAGAGAUGCUUAAUCUCUGAUUCUUUUACCUUCUUCAACCCAUGAGCCAGCCAUUUCUUUCCAAUUCUUGCUGUCCCAGUGUCCCACGAGUGCUCUUUCUGUGAAGCAAAUAAUUCUACUUUUUCCUUCAAUUUGUGAACGGCCUUUACAGCCGGACUCUCUUUCAGGCUUCUUUUAACCACACUACCCAGAAAGCGAAUGUCAGUAGGCCCAUCACAUGGAAAAACAUCUAUUUCACUUUCAAAUUCUAAAUAAAGAGAAUUCUUAAAGUAAUUUUCAGUUUCAGACUUGAUAGCAACAGCCACGUCUUUGGGACCAGAGAUGGCAAUAAGAAUCUCAUCCAUGAAGCGGCAACAAUGCACCCUAAUUUCAGAGUAGCCCAAAUCAUGGCAUUCUUGAGAACCAUUACCAGAUAUCUGUCUCCUGAACCAACUGCGUAACACAGAGUUGGGCGCACUUUCUUCAGCGCUUGAUCCUUUAUCAAUAGCUUCAUAUCUCAUUGACAACCUGUACAUUUCAUGAUCAAAUAGAUCAAGAUAUAUGUUCAUUAAAAUUGGAGACAAUGCUCCUUCUUGUGGGAGACCAUGUCCUUUUGGAAAGCCCCCAAAUUCUAAAUUCAAUACUCCACAGUCAAACAUACUACGUAUUAUCAUAUAUAGGAAAGGAUCAUCUAUCUUGUCUUCCAUAACUGAAAAGAGCUUAGCUAGGAUUUGAUUGUCAAGCUUUCUGCAAACUGGCAAGGUGAACCACCACUUUGGAUCAAUUAUCUCUUUGCGAAUGUACUUAAGAGCAGAUAAAUGGCUCCUACCACUACGACAACCGUGCGAUAUCUUAGAAAAGUGAGGUCGGUAGACAACUUCUAAAACUAUUCUGAUUGCUUCCUCAACAACUUUGAGUUUAACAUUUGGAAAGACAAGGACUUCUUUCUUUGCGCCCUUAGUUGAGAUCGAAUAUGUGUUAGCACUAACAUCAAAACAUCCACAAGAAAGCUCUUCAGCCAUGGCUUCAAAAGGCAAAUCCUCGCCAUUUGAUGCUAGAUCAACAUUAGAACUCAAUCGAAUACAAUCAUAAGCAUCACAAAGUGUUUUUGGAUUGGCAACCACUUUCUUUAUGAGGUUUUGAAACUUCCCGUUUACAUACUGUUCCUUAACUCUCUUUUUUAUGCGUAGUUCAAGUAAUCUUUUAUGUUCCACACGAUUCAUAGGUUUAGACUCAUCAAGAUUAUAAGACUCUUCCACCAAGUUCGCUAAGUUUUGUGCCAGCGACGCUCCAUGUUUCACACCUCCCGAAUUCUCAACCGACUUCUCAACCAUAGGCCCCAAUCUCUUAGAUACUUGGGAUUUUUUCUCCUCUAAGUUCAAAGAUUCCUGAACCAAACCGGCUAGGUCCUGAGCUAGUUUUAGUUUGCCAAUCUUCUCAUCACGAGUAUGACAUCCAACUUGACUAGCAUUAGAAUGAAGUGAAUAACCAAAAAAUCCUACAACAGGCCUCCCUGUCACAUUUAACCAAGAUUACAAACAGAUGAAUUCUUCCUAAUGACCUUAAUUCUAUAAUACAAAUGAAGAAGAGUACUUUAUACAUAUAGGUGUGUUUGUAUGGCUAGAAAAAUAUUUUUCAAAAUGAAUUAUUUUCCGGUAUUUGGUAUUUCAGCAAAAACGGAGAAAAUGCAUUCCUUCACAAAUAGGCAGACGUCAUUUCCUUUCCAAAUAUUCCAACUUUUACUCCAUAUUAACCAACAAAGUGAGAUGCUUUUUCAAUCUUUAGUACCAAAAAAUGUCACCAAAAUACUUUUCCAUACAUAUCCUCCAAUCUUCCACCUUGUAUGAAUAUCAUAUGAUGCUGAGCCAGGAUUUUCAUUAAACGGGUUCAAAAUCAAGUAACAUAUGAACUAGCCAAGCGAGUUCGACAUCUACCAUAUAUACAUAAAAAAAAAUUAAAAAAAAUUAACAAUGUAUAAAUAGUACUCCGUCCGUCCCAUUUUACGUGGCACUUUUUGGAUUUCAAGUCUAGCUUUGACCGUAAGUUUUUCAUAGAUAUUUUAAACAUUUUGAAUUAUCAAUUAUUGUGACUUAUAGUACUUUUUACGUAAUGUACAAAUAUAUAAAUUUCAUUUAAAUUUUUUUUGAAGAUUCUAUGCACAAAUUUCCAAUCAAACUUAAACCAUUGCUCGAAAAUGAAAAGUGUCACAUAAAUUGGAACGGAGGAAAUUCCGCCCAAUAACAACAACAUGGCCAGUGAAAUCUCACAUAGGAUGAGUAACACUUAAAACCUUGGGGUAAAAGAAGAUUAUAUGAAUUAAUUUCUAUAUACAUAUAUAAAAAAAAGGAAUAGUGGAAAGAGCAUUACCAAUACCAGAAGAAGAAUUGCGGCCGAGAAAGUGAAGACUUCGGAGAAGAGAAGUACAUUUAUGGGCCAUAUUAUACAGUCCGAACGGAGACUGAGAAACAAAAGGAAAGAGAAGGGAAUAAGGGCUCGUUUGCACAUAACUUUUCUU
Molecule: long non-coding RNA, 11029 nt
Filed under: Solanum tuberosum (potato)
Lineage: Eukaryota; Viridiplantae; Streptophyta; Magnoliopsida; Solanales; Solanaceae
Description: long non-coding RNA (STUB_LNC008674)
Source: RNAcentral